This 460-nucleotide ribosomal RNA is filed under the name uncultured bacterium. RNAcentral's name for it is "bacterial SSU rRNA". It matches the Rfam family "Bacterial small subunit ribosomal RNA", at positions 29 to 534 of the family's 1533-position model. The record is from RNAcentral.
AACGAACGCUGGCGGCAUGCCUAACACAUGCAAGUCGAACGAGAUCUUCGGGUCUAGUGGCGCACGGGUGCGUAACGCGUGGGAAUCUGCCCUUGGGUUCGGAAUAACUUCGGGAAACUGAAGCUAAUACCGGAUGAUGACGUAAGUCCAAAGAUUUAUCGCCCAAGGAUGAGCCCGCGUAGGAUUAGCUAGUUGGUGAGGUAAAGGCUCACCAAGGCGACGAUCCUUAGCUGGUCUGAGAGGAUGAUCAGCCACACUGGGACUGAGACACGGCCCAGACUCCUACGGGAGGCAGCAGUGGGGAAUAUUGGACAAUGGGCGAAAGCCUGAUCCAGCAAUGCCGCGUGAGUGAUGAAGGCCUUAGGGUUGUAAAGCUCUUUUACUCGGGACGAUAAUGACGGUACCGAGAGAAUAAGCCCCGGCUAACUCCGUGCCAGCAGCCGCGGUAAAGUAGUCGUGU